AGAACGAACGCUGGCGGCAGGCCUCAAACAUGCAAGUCUAGGGGGUGUAGCAAUACAUCACCGGCGGACGGGUGCGUAACACGUGGGAAUAUACCUUUUGGUUCGGAACAACGCAGGGAAACUUGCGCUAAUGCCGAAUGUGCCCUUACGGGGGAAAGAUUUAUCGCCAAAAGGAUUAGCCCGCGUCCGAUUAGCUAGUUGGUGAGGUAACGGCUCACCAAGGCUCCGAUCGGUAGCUGUUCUGAGAGGAAGAUCAGCCACACUGGGACUGAGACACGGCCCAGACUCCUACGGGAGGCAGCAGUUGGGAAUCUUGGACAAUGGGGGAAACCCUGAUCCAGCCAUGCCGCGUGAGUGAUGAAGGCCUUCGGGUUGUAAAACUCUUUCGACGGGGACAUAAUGACGGUACCCGUAGAAGAAGCUCCGGCUAACUUCGUGCCAGCAGCCGC
RNAcentral lists this ribosomal RNA (449 nucleotides) under uncultured bacterium. RNAcentral describes it as "SSU rRNA". It matches the Rfam family "Bacterial small subunit ribosomal RNA", at positions 26 to 518 of the family's 1533-position model. The record is from RNAcentral.